UACGUAGGGUGCAAGCGUUGUCCGGAAUUAUUGGGCGUAAAGAGCUCGUAGGCGGUGUGUCACGUCGGUCGUGAAAACCUGGGGCUUAACUCUGGGCUUGCGGUCGAUACGGGCAUCACUUGAGUUCGGGCAGGGGAGACUGGAAUUCCUGGUGUAGCGGUGAAAUGCGCAGAUAUCAGGAGGAACACCGGUGGCGAAGGCGGGUCUCUGGGCCGAUACUGACGCUGAGGAGCGAAAGCGUGGGGAGCGAACAGG
Molecule: ribosomal RNA, 255 nt
Filed under: uncultured bacterium
Lineage: Bacteria
Description: partial 16S ribosomal RNA
Rfam family: Bacterial small subunit ribosomal RNA
Source: RNAcentral